AAUUUUAAAUUUUCAAUAAAUACCAUAAGCAAGAACUAGUUAUUAUUAGACAACAAAAGUGAUCCCCCAACAUUAGACAAGGAAGUUUUGUGCAAGGGAAAACAUUACCCGCCGCUCGUGUAAUGUGACUUGAAGACAGUGAGUAAUAGAUAGAUCUCCUACAUGAAACGAUAAGUAUAUCUCAAGAAGCAACUAGGAAUUAAGAAGCAUCACCAUGCAUCUAGCCAACUAUUGUACUUUGCAAUAUAUCUUAACCUAACUUUGUAACUUUUAUCUGUGUAAGUAGAUGCGCAAUUGCAUCUCCCUAUAAGUUUAGCUAAGAUUAGUCGUUGGGAUUUGGGCUGGGGUUAGGUUUUGGUUUGGUUCCUUGUUUACCAGCUGAAUAUAAUUGGACGCAAUUGAGGAUGGUUCAGGAUUUCAAUGGAUCAAAAGAAGUUUUGAACAUUGGGCCUUAUGAAAAGCCCUUACAGCCCAUAAGCGCUAGGGUUUCCGCGUAAAACCUUCGAUUCGCCGCCGUUGGGGACCUUUAUAUACAAAACCACACAUGGCUGGUAGAUUCAUCAGCUCUUAUCGACGACACAACCUGAGUAUAGGGUUCUCUGUUCAACUUCUUUUGUCAUAUUCAAUUGUUUUCUGCUAUGUAGAUCUUAGAGCAUCCUCAUUGCAAGGGUUGUUGCACAAAUCUUAAGGUAAGAUUUGUGAAGAAAAAAACUUAUAUAAGGAUUUUUCUUCACAAAUCUUAAGGUAAGAUUUGUGCAAGAACCCUUGCAAUGAGGAUGACCUUAGGUUUUCGAGUUUUGACGUUGGUCUGUCUUGUCUUAAGUCUUGAUAAUGCAAAAGUUAGAUCAGGUGAUGAGUAAAUACUGCAACAAUAUGAUGGAGAAAUCUUCAUGAUUAUUAGUAUUUAAGUCUCUGAUGAUCUAAAUCGUUUUAAAUCGAUCCCCUAUGUUCGUACUAUCGUCUUCAUCGAUCUGAGAUCUUCUCAAUU
RNAcentral lists this long non-coding RNA (988 nucleotides) under Capsella rubella. Its description in RNAcentral is "long non-coding RNA (CRUB_LNC003485)". The stretch from base 844 to 921 matches the Rfam family "Small nucleolar RNA Z199". Lineage: Eukaryota; Viridiplantae; Streptophyta; Magnoliopsida; Brassicales; Brassicaceae. The record is from RNAcentral.